AUGGAAAUUAAUUGUCUGAGGGGCUUAUUCGGGGUAUCUUCACCUCGUCCAGUUGAGCCAAGAUUUGCUCCUCAACCUACUCAACCUACUGAACCUAUUGAACCUACUGAAAAUGAGACUCCUUUUCAGAUUCCUUUGGGUAUGAUGGAAAAACUGCUAGCUAACACUUUUGCAGGAGAUGGAACAAAGCAUCCUGACAAACAUCUACGCUAUGUGGAUGAUAUUUAUGGACUAUUUAAGCUUGCAGGUAUACCCGAUGAUGUUGUUAAGAAGAAGGCUUUCCCUUUAUCUUUGGAGGGAGACGCAUUGACAUGGUAUAGGCUAUGUGAUGAUACGAGAUCAUGGAACUAUAAAAGACUGAAAUUGGAAUUUCAUCAAAAGUAUUACCCUAUGCAUCUUGUUCAUCGUGAUCGCAAUUAUAUAUAA
Molecule: ribosomal RNA, 426 nt
Filed under: Triticum aestivum (bread wheat)
Lineage: Eukaryota; Viridiplantae; Streptophyta; Magnoliopsida; Poales; Poaceae
Description: partial small subunit ribosomal RNA
Source: RNAcentral